This 257-nucleotide ribosomal RNA is filed under the name uncultured bacterium. RNAcentral describes it as "partial 16S ribosomal RNA". It matches the Rfam family "Bacterial small subunit ribosomal RNA", at positions 793 to 1055 of the family's 1533-position model. The record is from RNAcentral.
GUCCAUGCCGUAACGAUGUCUACUAGCCGUUGGGCCUUUGAGGCUUUAGUGGCGCAGCUAACGCACUAAGUAGACCGCCUGGGAGUACGGUCGCAAGAUUAAACUCAAAUGAAUUGACGGGCCCGCACAAGCGGUGGAGCAUGUGGUUUAAUUCGACGCAACGCGAAGAACCUUACCAGGUCUUGACAUCUAGAGAAUUUGCCAGAGAUGGCUUAGUGCCUUCGGGAACUCUAAGACAGGUGCUGCAUGGCUGUCGU